CGUUAAUCAGGCGAGCUCCGCUUUCUCUCUGAGCUCUCCCUGCUUCUAUCCACAGCUGUGCUCCAGGUGGGGAACACCUAUGGAUGCACCAGGGUGCAACUACUCAGAGUCAAGCAUGCAGAAGGGCCCCUGCUCUAUGCUGUUUCCAUAUCCAAGCCCAAGCUCUUCUAGAGCUUCAGCAAAUCCAAGCCUCCCUGAAUUCCCUGCAAGACCAAACUGAGCCCUACAACCCCCACCACUCUGGUUAGCUGCCAGUCCCAGCC
RNAcentral lists this long non-coding RNA (263 nucleotides) under Homo sapiens (human). RNAcentral describes it as "HSALNT0157189". The record is from RNAcentral. Lineage: Eukaryota; Metazoa; Chordata; Mammalia; Primates; Hominidae.